AAUAAGUGCAGUUAUGGUUUUUCGCGUCUAACUUUGACCGUUCGUCUUAUUUGAAAACUUUUUAAAAAAAUUAAAAACAUAAGCCACGAAUAAAGUACUAUUCAUGUUUUAUCAUCUCAUAACAACAAAAAUACUAAUUAUAAAAAAAUUUCAAAUAAAACGGACAAUCAAAGUUGGACACAGAAACUUAUGGCUACACUUAUU
This 204-nucleotide microRNA precursor is filed under the name Oryza barthii. Its description in RNAcentral is "MIR812 microRNA precursor family". It matches the Rfam family "MIR812 microRNA precursor family". The record is from Rfam by way of RNAcentral. Lineage: Eukaryota; Viridiplantae; Streptophyta; Magnoliopsida; Poales; Poaceae.